RNAcentral lists this long non-coding RNA (306 nucleotides) under Panax ginseng (ginseng). RNAcentral describes it as "long non-coding RNA (PGIN_LNC012447)". Lineage: Eukaryota; Viridiplantae; Streptophyta; Magnoliopsida; Apiales; Araliaceae. The record is from RNAcentral.
CAAGCCCCAAAAUCGAUAGCUCAAACUUGAUCUAAAAAAUCCUAGCUCAAGAAUCAACGAUUCCGGCAAAGGAUUGAGACCAAACCAUCGCCUUUCCAAAGCCACCAUGAACACCAUCCUUGCAUCCCUGCAUACCCAAAUCUAACACAGAAAAAGAAAAAAAAAAGGAACAAAAUCAUCGCCUCCCAAAGCCACCAUGAACACCAUCCUCGCAUCUCUGCAUACCCAAAUCCAACACAGAAAUGAAAACAUAAGAAUAGACCAGAUUAAGAAAUGAAAACAGACAAAUAAAUAGACCAGAAGGAC